GGCUGUAGGGUAAUCAUACAAUACACUUGUAAGAGAAUGAUGAAAUGGACAAAUUCCAUAUUGCAACCACAAGUAUAUAGCAGAAAAUUGAUGCCAGUAACAGAAAAGUUGCUAACAUUGAUCAAACACCGAGUACAUUGAAAAAUAAGUACUAAUGCACAUGAACUUGAUAAUGAUUGGUCACAUUUGAACAUCUAUAUAAAGCUGACUAAACUACUCAUAAAAACACAACUAGAAUGUACUUACUUUACUGGCAAGGAAGUA
This 264-nucleotide unclassified non-coding RNA is filed under the name Hevea brasiliensis (rubber tree). Lineage: Eukaryota; Viridiplantae; Streptophyta; Magnoliopsida; Malpighiales; Euphorbiaceae. The record is from RNAcentral.